RNAcentral lists this unclassified non-coding RNA (272 nucleotides) under plant metagenome. RNAcentral describes it as "partial contains small subunit ribosomal RNA, internal transcribed spacer 1, and 5.8S ribosomal RNA". The record is from RNAcentral.
UUUCCGUAGGUGAACCUGCGGAAGGAUCAUUAAUGAGUUGUCAUGGGGUUCGAUGCUGGCAGCCAGUUUUUGGAUGCAUGUGCUUGCCCUAACAAUCAUCUUCUUCCAAACACCAGUGCACAUUUUUGAGGGAGUCUUGAGUUGGUUGCCGCUCUUGGGUGAUUUUCUCACAUUCCCUUAAAUCAUUAUACGCUAUUAACAAUGUUGAACGUGCUCUGUGCCGCAAGGCCAUUAAUAUAAUACAACUUUUAACAACGGAUCUCUUGGCUCUC